AACCGGUGAGUUUCGGUUCGGGGUUGUUGACUGCAGUUGUGUUGUGUCGUAUUUCUUCGUACGAAAAGUGAAUUUUUGUAUUUGUUUUGUACAUUUUAAUGUCAUAUUGAAUAAAAACCCCACCAUAAUUUUAAUAUAUUUAAAGUUUAUUUGUUGUUUUUAUUUUUCUCCCUGUUUUACAUGAUUUUAUUGUCUUUGUUAAAGUGGAUUUGGAAGUGACAACUAGGUAGCAUAUCUGCUGAUAAAAUCAAGUGAAUUUUUCAUUGUUGUGCCAAAAGGAUACUUACAUAGGAUUUUCAGACGGUUAUUCAACUGUUUAUGUCACGAGCAACUAGCGGUGUCCAAGAUGUGAGGAUCGUCGCCUGUCUGGCGCUCUGAGAGGAUGGAGGAGAAGAAAGGCAGCGGCGGGGGCAGGAUGGUGGGCUCCAAAGUUUCUCAGAUCGCGAACAUCUUCCAGGCGAUGGCACCGGCAGGAGUUAAAGGCGGGGGGGAAGGGGAGGUUCUGGCGGUGAGUCCAGGGGAAUCACCGAAGACAGCGGAGGGAGUAACUGUUGUGCGCACCGAGAGCCACGUAGCACGGUUCAACAAUGCACGAGCCCUCUUCGAGAAGCUCGGUGAGUAUCAUUAGAGUACCGUAGUGUUGGGUUGUUGGUCGGAGUAAUCCAGUGGCUUUAUCCAGUAUCUCACAAUGUGUCACUUUAUACUGUACGUUUUGGCAGUUUUGGUACAGCUGGAGGUUGGGAAUGCCCUUGUCAUGUAAGUAGAUAAGAAAAGGUCACUCAGAGUAAAAACAUCAAACUUUCUUUUUAAGAGAGGGAGAGGUCUGCUUAUCCAUUUUCAUUUGGAUUUCUUGGUUCAAGAGAUUGCAUUGAAGGUCUAAAUUGUCACUAAUGAGAAAUUGUGGUGUAUCCGUUAUCUCUCUCUCUCUCUCUCAGUAUAUAAAUGUGCAUUACUUCAGCAUUUUUAAUGGCUGAAAGCUACAAUUUGUCAUAUGUAUACUCUGACACCCAAAAACAAUUUCCCAAAAUCAAUUUUUGUAAAAAAGGACUGUUGCUUUGAUUGCAAUUUAAAAAUUUAAUUUAAUUAUUGUACAGUACAAUUGUACAGUUUUACAAAAGUUAUUGAUGGAGAACACACCUGAAAAACUGAAAAAUCACAUAAAUAAAUUAGUUAGAUAAUUAUUAUGUUGUUGAACCUUCAACAUUUGUAACAAGCUAGGUGUCACCAAGGCUUAAAACAACAGUGUUGGAAAAUUAGAAUUAUUUUCAUCUGACCCAUCAUCGUCUUCUUAACAAAAUAAAUUAUUUUGGUGGUUUUUAGAAUUUUAGUAUACAAAUUAGUUCACAAAUGUCUAAACUAUGUUUAAUUUUAACAUUACACUCCAAUUUGUAUAUAAAAAUUACCAGGAAGUAUCACCACCAGUACCACCAGUAUUUAUGAAGUAUUAUUAUAUACUUCUAAACUAGUUUAUACAUAGUCAAUACACUCAGAUCUUCAAUUUAAAAUUAUCUUCAAUGUUUUCUUUAGAAUAAGGCAACAGUUGUGAAACUGAGAUGUCUGAACAUGAUUAUAAAUCAUACUAAUGCUUAUUUUCAAUAGAGAAACGUUUUACGAGAUUGUCCAGGAUUGAACCGUUCUCAGUGUGGGUCAGUUGCAGAGUGAGGUCGGAGCAGGUGUUAACAAAGUGAGGACUGUUAACUAGGUUACGGCUGACUGUCAACAGUGCAGUGUUAAUUACAAGUCCUGUCACCGCACGUCUGUAGGGUUGGGAUAGGACUGUUCUUGUUCAUCACUGUACUCGGAUGUCACAAAAUCUGUUCAAUUUUAGUACACUGGUAGUUGUGAUACUACCACAGUGACGUAUAUAGAAAACAUUUUUUGAGGGAUUGACACACUGGAUGGUUUAGGAAAUAUAAAAUACCCCCCCCCCCCAAAAAAAAAGGUCAGGAAUCUUCUCCCUUGAAAGUUUUGACCUUUAAGACCUCAUAAAUUUGUUCUAGCUUAAAACAAAGUACUGGGUGCAAUUUUACAAUAUCUCUUUCAAAAUGUCAUGGGGGUUCAAGUACCCUGAGCCCCCCCCCCCCUUAUACACGCCUACCAUACUGUUAUGGACUAAGCUUAGUAAUCUGUUAUUCAAUGAUCUUACAACAAAUUCCCAUGGAUCUACUGUAGAUGUAAAUUGAUAAAAAAUUAACUACUCUUGGGCCUCUGGCUGGAGAAACAAUAUUAGAGAUCUCAAUUAUUUCUUUAUUUUUACAUCCAUCAUGAAUAACAAUAAUAACCAUAACAAU
This 2291-nucleotide long non-coding RNA is filed under the name Homalodisca vitripennis (glassy-winged sharpshooter). Its description in RNAcentral is "uncharacterized LOC124353693". The record is from RNAcentral. Lineage: Eukaryota; Metazoa; Arthropoda; Insecta; Hemiptera; Cicadellidae.